RNAcentral lists this long non-coding RNA (2605 nucleotides) under Homo sapiens (human). RNAcentral's name for it is "PREDICTED lncRNA (TCONS_00151085)". Lineage: Eukaryota; Metazoa; Chordata; Mammalia; Primates; Hominidae. The record is from RNAcentral.
AGGUGGUAAAUCCUGGCCAAGGCUCCUCGAGCCAGGCCGGCUGGCAGUGCUGCAUCGUGCUGAAGGCGCUGAGGUUGCAGCGGAUGCAUUCCGGGCCAGUGAUAUGAUGUGGACAGGAAAAGUCUUUUGUUCUGGGAAAAUGGAGGACUGAAACCUCUUCAUGUCUUUUUCCCAGGCCCUGAUUUAGGAAGACCAAAACAGGGACUUCUACAGUAGCAGCUUAAUCAGCAGAUGCUGGGUGGUCGCCUCUGCACAUGGCCUGGGGGGCGGGGCGCCUUACCGCGUCACACUGGGUGGAUGGGCCUGUGUGUGGCCUCUCUCCAGCUGUGGCUGACAGUACUCACUCAGCCCAGGCUUCCAGGCCCUCCUGGGCCCUCCUAUCCACUGAAGGAAAUGGGAGAUGAGUGGGUAAUGGAAAAGCCUUUGGAGUCAGAUGUAAAUCCAUGACUUGACCACUUAUUGCUGUGAGACCCUGGACAGCUGGAUAUAGAGUUCUUGUUCUAGCAUCCGCCCUGGGAAUCCCCGGAACUGGGCCUCUUACCGACACCAUUGCCUGUAAUCCACAAACCUAGGAGUUACUCCAGUUACUGUCCUACUGAAGGACCCCCAUCCCAUCUGGGCUACUAUAACCACAUGGACCAUCCCUUGCUUCAAUCAUAGAAUUCUUUCUUCAGAUCAAAGUAUAUUCAGACACUCGAUACAGUAACAAAAGCAAGCUAUCCUGGAAGGAAGAAGGAAUCAGGAGGCAGAGCACAUGGUUAAAGCAUGAGAUGUGAAACCAGGAAGAACCAGGUCUGAACCUUAGCUCCACCAGUGGUAGCUUCAAACCUUGGUCCUUUCUGAGCCUGCUUCUUCAACCGUAAGGGAACGCUACACUUCCUUAGAAAUUAAGAGUGUGUGCUACACUGCUUUACCAGAGCAAGGCCAAAAGCAGCUUCAAUUAUGGUACAACUGUGUGAAGACACAAUGCAAAACCACUCAAGAAUGCUCACUCAAAUGGAUUUUUACCAUGCGUCUACAAUGUGGAAGCAAGUCCUGAGUGAAUAUGCAACCCUGCUCCACCUAUGGGGAAGUGGGACCAGAACCAGAAACAUCAGCACACAGGGACACAGCCCUGGAAACACAACCUCUGCUUUCAAAGCAGAUUGGCCACUAAGAGUUUUUAUUACCUAUUUUCUUUGCCAUAUUGUAGUUCCCAAUUCUCAAAAAUAAAAAUGUUAAGAGAAAUAUGAAAGACGGCUAAAAAGAGAGAAGAAACAAUGAAAAAGGAGAUGGCUCAUGCCUGUAAUCCCUUUGGGAGGCCGAGGCGGGUGGAUCACGAGGUCAGGAGAUCAAGACCAUCAUGGCUAACAGGAUGAAACCCCGUCUCUACUAAAAAUACAAAAAAUUAGCCGAGCAUGGUGGCAGGAGCCUGUAGUCCCAGCUAACUGGGAGGCUGAGGCAGGAGAAUGGUGUGAACCCAGGAGGCGGAACUUGCAGUGAGUGGAGAUCGCACCACUGCACUCCAACCUGGGCGACAGAGCAAGACUCCGUCUCAAAAAGAAAAAGAAAAAGAAAAAGAAAAAGGACAGAAGGGCAAAAAAGAAACAGGUACAGGGGACAUGGAGAGGUGGUCAGGGACACGGAUAUGGGCACAAGAAAGAGGAGGGAGAGAGAGAGGAGGAAGUUCUUGGCACAGAACUAGUCCUUCUCUACCCUCGAUUUAUUCUCAAGAAAUAAGAAAGUACGUUUUGUUUUGAUAGUCACUUAAUAGCAACAUGAACUGGCAGGUAGGAGAGUGGAGUCAGUGGAAACAGCUGCCAAAGCAGGGGUCAUGGAGAAGAACCAUAGGCAGGCAACACACACACACUGUGUGUGCUCCGCAACAAAGGUGCCAUUAGUCUCAAAGCAUAGUGGAUCAGUGAGUUGGGCUUAUGAAUGUUCCCAAGUCUUUUCCACUUCUGACCACAUUUUGAGUAUGUGUUAAUCAAAUUCAUCUCCUAAAUAUUUAGUAUAAGGCUUUAUGUAAUGAGUUCUCAAAUGCAUGUUGCUGAGCCACUGACAGCAGGAAACAAGCUACCUCCCACCAGGAAACCACUAACUAGUUUAUAUGCCUGUAACACAUAUCACUGUAAUUCUGGGUCCUAACAAAAACCUUUUUCAUAAAAACGGGUACCAGUCAGGAAGACCCAAAUGCAUAUUAGGGAAGUAAUUAUCUAUUACUCUCUAGGAUACUGAUAAAGGAAGGGACUUCCAUGUCAAUUUCUAAAUAUUCAAGAGGCCUUGAAUAUCCCAAGGUGCCUGUUAGGGUCAUUAUUUUGAAACUAAAAGCAGACCUGGCCUCUUCUGAUUAAGAAAGCACACACACACACACUUUUCACUCUGACUGUUGACAAUUCAAGCCCAUGCACAGUACAUGCUUCCUUGGGAAUACCUCUCGUGUAUAUACUCUGGUAGGGCCAGGCCUAUAGGGGCAUCCUGUUGCCUUCAAUGCUGAACUUGACAGCACGAUGCACUUUGCUGAGUCGUUUCUGUUCUGCAAAUCGCCUCUUAUGCUUUUCCAAUCGGCUUAGGCCCUUUUUAAGAAUACCAGGCUAGAAGUAGUAGUUUGAUUGGAGAAUAAAAA